CGCCGGCGUGGCCCAGGUGGGGCCGGCGGUGGGCUCGUUGUUCAUCCACCUGAUGCCGGUGUUCGCGUCGAUCCUGUCGGCGCUGGUGC
RNAcentral lists this transfer RNA (89 nucleotides) under Zoogloea ramigera. RNAcentral describes it as "tRNA-Pro". Lineage: Bacteria; Pseudomonadati; Pseudomonadota; Betaproteobacteria; Rhodocyclales; Zoogloeaceae. The record is from RNAcentral.